This 1178-nucleotide ribosomal RNA is filed under the name Salmonella enterica subsp. enterica serovar Typhimurium. RNAcentral describes it as "partial 23S ribosomal RNA". It matches the Rfam family "Bacterial large subunit ribosomal RNA", at positions 402 to 1394 of the family's 2925-position model. The record is from RNAcentral. Lineage: Bacteria; Pseudomonadati; Pseudomonadota; Gammaproteobacteria; Enterobacterales; Enterobacteriaceae.
AGCUCGAUGAGUAGGGCGGGACACGUGGUAUCCUGUCUGAAUAUGGGGGGACCAUCCUCCAAGGCUAAAUACUCCUGACUGACCGAUAGUGAACCAGUACCGUGAGGGAAAGGCGAAAAGAACCCCGGCGAGGGGAGUGAAAAAGAACCUGAAACCGUGUACGUACAAGCAGUGGGAGCCCCACCACUAAGCCAGUGGUGAACUCCACAUCCGCAUCCUUUGCUGAGGAUACGGUUAACGGAGCGAAAGCGACGUUCAACCGCAAAACAAGCAGAGGGGGCUUAGUGGUGGGGUGACUGCGUACCUUUUGUAUAAUGGGUCAGCGACUUAUAUUCUGUAGCAAGGUUAACCGAAUAGGGGAGCCGGAGGGAAACCGAGUCUUAAUUGGGCGUUAAGUUGCAGGGUAUAGACCCGAAACCCGGUGAUCUAGCCAUGGGCAGGUUGAAGGUUGGGUAACACUAACUGGAGGACCGAACCGACUAAUGUUGAAAAAUUAGCGGAUGACCUGUGGCUGGGGGUGAAAGGCCAAUCAAACCGGGAGAUAGCUGGUUCUCCCCGAAAGCUAUUUAGGUAGCGCCUCGUGAAUUCAUCUCCGGGGGUAGAGCACUGUUUCGGCUAGGGGGCCAUCCCGGCUUACCAACCCGAUGCAAACUGCGAAUACCGGAGAAUGUUAUCACGGGAGACACACGGCGGGUGCUAACGUCCGUCGUGAAGAGGGAAACAACCCAGACCGCCAGCUAAGGUCCCAAAGUCAUGGUUAAGUGGGAAACGAUGUGGGAAGGCCCAGACAGCCAGGAUGUUGGCUUAGAAGCAGCCAUCAUUUAAAGAAAGCGUAAUAGCUCACUGGUCGAGUCGGCCUGCGCGGAAGAUGUAACGGGGCUAAACCAUGCACCGAAGCUGCGGCAGCGAACGUAUCACCCAAGACAACUUUACGGAGUUGACGAUUGACGGAGCGAAGCGACGUCAAAGCGUUCAUUAAAGUCGAGUUGGCUUAGGGAUACGUUCGUUGGGUAGGGGAGCGUUCUGUAAGCCUGUGAAGGUGUGUCGUGAGGCAUGCUGGAGGUAUCAGAAGUGCGAAUGCUGACAUAAGUAACGAUAAAGCGGGUGAAAAGCCCGCUCGCCGGAAGACCAAGGGUUCCUGUCCAACGUUAAUCGGGGCAGGGUGAGUCGACCCCUAA